UACGUAGGGACCGAGCGUUGUCCGGAAUCAUUGGGCGUAAAGAGCGUGUAGGCGGCCACUUAAGUCCUGCGUGAAAUCUUGCGGCUCAACCGCAAGCGGCCGUGGGAAACUGGGUGGCUAGAGUGCGGGAGAGGAGAGUGGAAUUCCUGGUGUAGCGGUGGAAUGCGCAGAUAUCAGGAGGAACACCGGUGGCGAAGGCGGGUCUCUGGGCCGUAACUGACGCUGAGGAGCGAAAGCGUGGGGAGCGAACAGG
Molecule: ribosomal RNA, 253 nt
Filed under: uncultured bacterium
Lineage: Bacteria
Description: partial 16S ribosomal RNA
Rfam family: Bacterial small subunit ribosomal RNA
Source: RNAcentral